RNAcentral lists this ribosomal RNA (846 nucleotides) under Comamonas aquatica. Its description in RNAcentral is "bacterial SSU rRNA". It matches the Rfam family "Bacterial small subunit ribosomal RNA", at positions 538 to 1533 of the family's 1533-position model. Lineage: Bacteria; Pseudomonadati; Pseudomonadota; Betaproteobacteria; Burkholderiales; Comamonadaceae. The record is from RNAcentral.
GGGGCUAUCGGUAUAUUGGGCGUAAGCGUGCGCAGGUGGUUUCGUAAGUCUGAUGUGAAAUCCCAGGGCUCAACCUGGGAACUGCCUUGGUGACUGGGAGACUUGAGUGCAGAAGAGGAUAGUGGAAUUCCGCGUGUAGCGGUGAAAUGCGUAGAUAUGUGGAGGAACACCGAUGGCGAAGGCGAUCCUCUGGUCCGGAACUGACGCUGAUGCACGAAAGCGUGGGGAGCAAACAGGAUUAGAUACCCUGGUAGUCCACGCCCUAAACGAUGACUGCUGGUUGUUGGGUCUUAUCUGACUCUUAAUGCUGGCUCUAACGCGUUAUUCACUCCGCGUGGAGAAUAGGCGCGCAAGAGUGACUCUCAGAAGAUUUGAGGGGCGCCCGCAAAAGCGGUGGAAUAUGUGUUUUAUUUCUGCGCCGCGCGAAAACUUAUACCCGUUUGUGAUGUCCUGAAUCCUUUAGAGAUAUAGGAGUGCUCCAUAGAGAGCCGAAACACAGGUGCUGCAUGGGUGUCGUCAGCUCGUGUCGUGAGAUGUUGGGUUAAGUCCCGCAACGAGCGCAACCCUUGUGAUUAGUUGCUACCAAAGGGCACUCUACUCUGACUGCAGAUGACAAACCACACAACAGUGGGGAGGAGGUCUAGUCCUCAUGUCCUCGUAUCUGUUGUGCUGCACACGUCACACGCUGUACGGUACAAGGGUUGACAUCCCGCGACUCGAGCUAAUCUCAUAUCCCAGACCUACUCUCUCAUCUCAGUCUGUACUCGACUCUCUGAUAUCUGAUCGAGACUCUCUUAGUAUCAGAUAUCACGUGAUACAUCCCCCGCCUCUAAAAAAAAAAAAAAA